CAAGCGGUGGAGCAUGUGGUUUAAUUCGACGCAACGCGAAGAACCUUACCUGGACUCGAAAUGCCGUUGUAAGCUCCAGAGAUGGAGUCCUCCCGCAAGGGACAGCGGUAUAGGUGCUGCAUGGCUGUCGUCAGCUCGUGUCGUGAGAUGUUGGGUUAAGUCCCGCAACGAGCGCAACCCUCAUCCUUAGUUGCUCGCCCGCAAGGGAAGCACCCUAAGGGAACCGCCUCGGAUAACGGGGAGGAAGGUGGGGAUGACGUCAAGUCCUCAUGGCCUUUAUGCCCAGGGCUACACACGUGCUACAAUGGCCGGUACAAAGCGUCGCCAACCCGCAAGGGGGAGCCAAUCGCAAAAAACCGGUCUCAGUUCGGAUUGCAGGCUGCAACUCGCCUGCAUGAAGCUGGAAUCGCUAGUAAUCGCGUAUCAGAACGACGCGGUGAAUACGUUCCCGGGCCUUGUACACACC
Molecule: ribosomal RNA, 466 nt
Filed under: uncultured bacterium
Lineage: Bacteria
Description: bacterial SSU rRNA
Rfam family: Bacterial small subunit ribosomal RNA
Source: RNAcentral